This 90-nucleotide ribosomal RNA is filed under the name Gemmiger sp. An120. The record is from RNAcentral. Lineage: Bacteria; Bacillati; Bacillota; Clostridia; Eubacteriales; Oscillospiraceae.
CCUGUUCCCAUUCCGAACACAGUAGUUAAGCUCUGUCGUGCCGAAGAUAGUUGGUUGGAGACGACCCGCAAAAAUAGGUAGGCGCCGGCU